CAUGCAAGUCGUACGAGAGUUUUUAACUCAAGUGGCGGACGGGUGAGUAACACGUAAGAAUUUGCCUUUAGGAGGGGGACAACAACUGGAAACGGUUGCUAAUACCCCAUAUGCUUUCGAGUGAAAUGGAUUUUUCCGCCUAGAGAGAAGCUUGCGGCUGAUUAGCUUGUUGGUGAGGUAAUGGCUUACCAAGGCGACGAUCAGUAUCUGGCUUGAGAGGACGAUCAGACACACUGGAACUGAGACACGGUCCAGACUCCUACGGGAGGCAGCAGUGGGGAAUUUUCCGCAAUGGGCGAAAGCCUGACGGAGCAAUACCGCGUGAGGGAUGACGGCCUAUGGGUUGUAAACCUCUUUUUUCAGGGAGGAAUCAAAUGACGUGUACCUGAAGAAUAAGCAUCGGCUAACUCCGUGCCAGCAGCCGCGGUAAGACGGAGGAUGCAAGUGUUAUUCGGAAUCACUGGGCGUAAAGCGUCUGUAGGUGGUCAAAUAAGUCAACUGUUAAAUCUUGAGGCUCAACCUCAAAAUCGCAGUCGAAACUAUUAGACUAGAGUAUAGUAGGGGUAAAGGGAAUUUCCAGUGGAGCGGUGAAAUGCGUAG
Molecule: ribosomal RNA, 600 nt
Filed under: uncultured cyanobacterium
Lineage: Bacteria; Bacillati; Cyanobacteriota
Description: bacterial SSU rRNA
Rfam family: Bacterial small subunit ribosomal RNA
Source: RNAcentral